CCUACGGGUGGCUGCAGUGGGGAACAUUGCACAAUGGGCGCAAGCCUGAUGCAGCCAUGCCGCGUGUGUGAAGAAGGCCUUCGGGUUGUAAAGCACUUUCAGCGGGGAGGAAGGCGGUGAGGUUAAUAACCUCAUCGAUUGACGUUACCCGCAGAAGAAGCACCGGCUAACUCCGUGCCAGCAGCCGCGGUAAUACGGAGGGUGCAAGCGUUAAUCGGAAUUACUGGGCGUAAAGCGCACGCAGGCGGUCUGUCAAGUCGGAUGUGAAAUCCCCGGGCUCAACCUGGGAACUGCAUUCGAAACUGGCAGGCUAGAGUCUUGUAGAGGGGGGUAGAAUUCCAGGUGUAGCGGUGAAAUGCGUAGAGAUCUGGAGGAAUACCGGUGGCGAAGGCGGCCCCCUGGACAAAGACUGACGCUCAGGUGCGAAAGCGUGGGGAGCAAACAGGAUUAGAUACCCUAGUAGUC
RNAcentral lists this ribosomal RNA (465 nucleotides) under uncultured Klebsiella sp. RNAcentral's name for it is "bacterial SSU rRNA". It matches the Rfam family "Bacterial small subunit ribosomal RNA", at positions 338 to 795 of the family's 1533-position model. Lineage: Bacteria; Pseudomonadati; Pseudomonadota; Gammaproteobacteria; Enterobacterales; Enterobacteriaceae. The record is from RNAcentral.